Molecule: long non-coding RNA, 310 nt
Organism: Chelonia mydas (Green sea turtle)
Lineage: Eukaryota; Metazoa; Chordata; Testudines; Cheloniidae
Exons: 3
Source: RefSeq, a predicted model, not a curated record
UUUUGUUUUAUCUUCUUUAAAAUUUUGCAGUGACCCAAACACACCAGGAUUCAACUGGGUUUUGACUCCCUUGGAACUACAGAGACAAAUAUUAUAAAAUCUGAAAUGAUAACAUUUUCACACGGAAAGCGUAUCAAGGAGACACUCAUAUCAAGGUUUCACAGGACCAGAUCCUCAACUAGUGCGAAUCGGAGUUGCUCCACUGACUUCAAAUGAGCGCUACGUUGACUUCAAUUGGCCUGCAAUAAAAUGAACUGUGGAGGAGGACGAGACAAAAAAGGAAGAGAAAGGGAGACGAGGAGGACAAAGC